RNAcentral lists this long non-coding RNA (843 nucleotides) under Mytilus galloprovincialis (Mediterranean mussel). The record is from RNAcentral. Lineage: Eukaryota; Metazoa; Mollusca; Bivalvia; Mytilida; Mytilidae.
ACAAUUUGUAAACAAUUUGUUAUUUGAUGUAAAUAUCUGAACUGUUAGCUUUCUUAGAUAUAUAUAAGAUAUCGUUGCUGCUUAGUGAACUCGGAAGUUAGUUUAUAGAUAAGUGCUAGUCUGAGUAAUGCUGAUUGAUUAAUUGAUUGGUGUUUACUGAAUAGAGAGUAGCUUAUAUAUCAUAUAAAUUUAUAGGGGUUUCAGUGGCUGGAAGGUUUAAGGUGAUACCCAACACUUUCACUAAAAUUAAUUUGGCUCGUUUAAUUUUCAUAAAAUUUUGACGAAGUAUUUACUUUGACCCUUUAACAAAAAUAUAAAAAUUCCAAAAAUUUGAACCAACCAAUUUAUCAGAAAAAUUACCCUGGUUAUAUAGCAGUUUGACAAACACUAAUUUUGAUCAUUGAGAAGCUUAAUAUUCCCUUAACAGCACAACAUAAUUAAAACGUUUAGCUGAUUUUACAGAGUUAUCUCCCUGUAGUAUUAGGUACCACCUUAAGUAGUAGAUCUACUGCAUCACUAGCCUUUCAACAAUGACGUUGUGAAUUUCAAUCCUGCGGCAGGGAGGUGCACUCAACCUCAAUCUUCAAUAAUUGACUAGGAUUGUUAGAUUUCCUACCAAAGGUUGCUUGUUCUCUCAGGGCUUUCCAGCUUCCUCCAUAGAAAAAUUAAAAUGAUGCUAUAAAAUAGCAAAAUAAUUUUGAAAGGGAUGUUAAACACCAAUCAAUCAAUUAAUCAAUCAAUGCAUAUUCAUGUUGACCCAAUAAGAAUUGUUAGUAAAUUUACAUUACAUCGAAGCGUGAAACAUAUUUACUAGGUAUAAAUAUUAAAUACUUGACAUUCCAC